CCAAAAAAAAAAGUUUGUGAAUAAAAUUUGGUUUCUAAUGUCUUGUAUUUCAGUGGUUAUUGGUUAUAAGUUGUCAAAGUCAUGGUGUAAAAUUAAAAUGAUUAGCAAGUUUUCCUAACUCCAAGUCAUAAGCCUACUAUCCCAAAUGACAAAUUUGUACCUUGGCCUCACUACAACCUAAAAACAUAUGAAAAGUGUAUGUACAAUUUGCAUUGUGAACCUCUUUUGAACAUUUUCAAGCAUAUGAUAGUUUGGGCAUGUACCAGAAUCUAAGGGAUAAACACAAAACUUGGAAACACUUAGAGAUAAAUUUGGAUAUUUGUGUGCAGAGAAAAUUGAAUUUGAAAGUCAAUUAUAGUAAGAACAAACAUUCAGAAAGUUAUAGAGGGUUAGUGUUGGCACAAGGUGAUCUCAAAUGCACAAAAUUGCCUUUUGAAUGAAGCUGGAGCACAAUAGGAAGGGCUUGGAGCGCAUUUCGUCAGUCACUAUGUUGCAAUGCACAUCCUGACACAACUCAUUGUCAUCGAGUACAAUAGAGGAACAUCACAGUGCAUUGUGCAGCUUGCUACGCUAUAAUAAAUUUUGUUGUAACGCAUUGCAGUCAUACUCAGCGCAAUGCGCUGGUGCUCGUUCCAAGCCUAUUAUUUAAGUCAAAAAGCAGAAUUUGGUUAGGGUUCUGAUUUUUGGAUGCUGAUGAGGAGUCUGCUACACAUGAAAGAAGACCUAGUGCAACAUUUGUAUGUAAUUUUUUUCUCAAUAUUUUUGUUAUCAAACAAUAUGAGUAGUUAAUUUACUUAGUGAUUAGAGAUUAGAUGAACUUUCUUGAAUGUAUGUAGUUUAGGCUUUCCUAUGUUAAUUAUUCAAUUCAAACGUAUUUGAUUAUU
This is a non-coding RNA of Cicer arietinum (chickpea), 884 nucleotides long. Lineage: Eukaryota; Viridiplantae; Streptophyta; Magnoliopsida; Fabales; Fabaceae. The record is from RefSeq and is a predicted model, not a curated record.